RNAcentral lists this ribosomal RNA (874 nucleotides) under Trichoderma harzianum. RNAcentral describes it as "partial large subunit ribosomal RNA". It matches the Rfam family "Eukaryotic large subunit ribosomal RNA", at positions 48 to 951 of the family's 3401-position model. Lineage: Eukaryota; Fungi; Ascomycota; Sordariomycetes; Hypocreales; Hypocreaceae. The record is from RNAcentral.
AAGCGGAGGAAAAGAAACCAACAGGGAUUGCCCCAGUAACGGCGAGUGAAGCGGCAACAGCUCAAAUUUGAAAUCUGGUCCCUAGGGCCCGAGUUGUAAUUUGUAGAGGAUGCUUUUGGUGAGGUGCCGCCCGAGUUCCCUGGAACGGGACGCCACAGAGGGUGAGAGCCCCGUCUGGCUGGCCGCCGAGCCUCUGUAAAGCUCCUUCGACGAGUCGAGUAGUUUGGGAAUGCUGCUCAAAAUGGGAGGUAUAUGUCUUCUAAAGCUAAAUAUUGGCCAGAGACCGAUAGCGCACAAGUAGAGUGAUCGAAAGAUGAAAAGCACCUUGAAAAGAGGGUUAAAUAGUACGUGAAAUUGUUGAAAGGGAAGCGCUUGUGACCAGACUUGGGCGCGGCGGAUCAUCCGGGGUUCUCUCCGGUGCACUUCGCCGCGUCUAGGCCAGCAUCAGUUCGUCGCGGGGGAAAAAGGCUUCGGGAACGUGGCUCCUCCGGGAGUGUUAUAGCCCGUUGCAUAAUACCCUGCGGUGGACUGAGGACCGCGCAUCUGCAAGGAUGCUGGCGUAAUGGUCACCAGCGACCCGUCUUGAAACACGGACCAAGGAGUCGUCUUCGUAUGCGAGUGUUCGGGUGUCAAACCCCUACGCGUAAUGAAAGUGAACGCAGGUGAGAGCUUCGGCGCAUCAUCGACCGAUCCUGAUGUUCUCGGAUGGAUUUGAGUAAGAGCAUACGGGGCCGGACCCGAAAGAAGGUGAACUAUGCCUGUAUAGGGUGAAGCCAGAGGAAACUCUGGUGGAGGCUCGCAGCGGUUCUGACGUGCAAAUCGAUCGUCAAAUAUGGGCAUGGGGGGCGAAAGACUAAUCGAACCUUCUAGUAGC